RNAcentral lists this ribosomal RNA (585 nucleotides) under uncultured bacterium. RNAcentral describes it as "partial 16S ribosomal RNA". It matches the Rfam family "Bacterial small subunit ribosomal RNA", at positions 355 to 1375 of the family's 1533-position model. The record is from RNAcentral.
UGGGGAAUUUUGGACAAUGGGCGAAAGCCUGAUCCAGCAAUGCCGCGUGUGUGAAGAAGGCCUUCGGGUUGUAAAGCACUUUUGUCCGGAAAGAAAUCCUUGGCUCUAAUACAGUCGGGGGAUGACGGUACCGGAAGAAUAAGCACCGGCUAACUACGUGCCAGCAGCCGCGGUAAUACGUAGGGUGCAAGCGUUAAUGGGAAUUACUGGGCGUAAAGCGUGCGCAGGCGGUUUGCUAAGACCGAUGUGAAAUCCCCGGGCUCAACCUGGGAACUGCAUUGGUGACUGGCAGGCUAGAGUAUGGCAGAGGGGGGUAGAAUUCCACGUGUAGCAGUGAAAUGCGUAGAGAUGUGGAGGAAUACCGAUGGCGAAGGCAGCCCCCUGGGCCAAUACUGACGCUCAUGCACGAAAGCGUGGGGAGCAAACAGGAUUAGAUACCCUGGUAGUCCACGCCCUAAACGAUGUCAACUAGUUGUUGGGGAUUCAUUUCCUUAGUAACGUAGCUAACGCGUGAAGUUGACCGCCUGGGGAGUACGGUCGCAAGAUUAAAACUCAAAGGAAUUGACGGGGUCAUAGCUGUUUCCU